UGAUAAUAACUUACCCCCACAUCCGCCCGGGUACUACAAGUACCAACUUGAAACCCAAAGGACUUGGCGGUGCUUUAGACCCCCCUAGAGGAGCCUGUUCUAGAACUGAUAAUCCCCGUUAAACCUCACCCUCCCUUGUCAUUCCCGCCUAUAUACCGCCGUCGUCAGCUUACCCUGUGAGGGUCUUAUCGUGAGCACAACUGGCACAGCCUUAAACGUCAGGUCGAGGUGUAGUAGAUGGGAGGGGAAGAAAUGGGCUACAUUCGUCUACUGACGAACAACGAAUGAUCUAUUGAAAACAUUUAUCUAAAGGAGGAUUUAGCAGUAAAAAGGAAAUAGAGUGUCC
Molecule: ribosomal RNA, 346 nt
Filed under: Solegnathus spinosissimus (spiny pipehorse)
Lineage: Eukaryota; Metazoa; Chordata; Actinopteri; Syngnathiformes; Syngnathidae
Description: partial 12S ribosomal RNA
Rfam family: Bacterial small subunit ribosomal RNA
Source: RNAcentral